ACGCACGCUGGCGGCGUGCUUCACACCUGCCAGUCGGACGGAAAGGCCCUGCUUUUGGGGGGUGCUCGAGGGGCGAACGGGGGAGUAACACGUGAGUAACCUGCCCUUGACUUUGGGAUAACUUCAGGAAACGGGGGCUAAUACCGGAUAGGAGCUCCUGCUGCAUGGGGGGGGUUGGAAAGUUUCGGCGGUUGGGGAUGGACUCGCGGCUUAUCAGCUUGUUGGUGGGGUAGUGGCUUACCAAGGCUUUGACGGGUAGCCGGCCUGAGAGGGUGACCGGCCACAUUGGGCCUGCGAUACGGCCCAGACUCCUACGUGAGGCAGCAGUGGGGAAUAUUGCACAAUGGGCGGAAGCCUGAUGCAGCAACGCCGCGUGCGGGACGACGGCCUUCGGGUUGUAAACCGCUUUCGCCUGUGACGAAGCGUGAGUGACGGUAAUGGGUAAAGAAGCACCGGCUAACUACGUG
RNAcentral lists this ribosomal RNA (467 nucleotides) under uncultured bacterium. RNAcentral describes it as "partial 16S ribosomal RNA". It matches the Rfam family "Bacterial small subunit ribosomal RNA", at positions 29 to 507 of the family's 1533-position model. The record is from RNAcentral.